This 400-nucleotide ribosomal RNA is filed under the name uncultured bacterium. RNAcentral's name for it is "partial 16S ribosomal RNA". It matches the Rfam family "Bacterial small subunit ribosomal RNA", at positions 359 to 774 of the family's 1533-position model. The record is from RNAcentral.
GAAUAUUGCACAAUGGAGGGAACUCUGAUGCAGCAACGCCGCGUGAGUGAAGAAGGUNNNCGGAUNGUAAAACUCUGUCAUUGNGGANGAAUAAAUGACGGUACCCAAUGAGGAAGCCCCGGCUAACUACGUGCCAGCAGCCGCGGUAAUACGUAGGGGGCGAGCGUUGUCCGGAAUUACUGGGCGUAAAGGGUACGUAGGCGGCUAUAUAAGGCAGGUGUGAAAUACCAGUGCUUAACACUGGAAUUGCAUUUGAAACUGUGUAGCUUGAGUGCAGGAGAGGAAAGUGGAAUUCCUAGUGUAGCGGUGAAAUGCGUAGAGAUUAGGAGGAACACCAGUGGCGAAGGCGACUUUCUGGACUUUUUCUGACGCUGAGGAACGAAAGCAUGGGGAGCAAACA